RNAcentral lists this long non-coding RNA (321 nucleotides) under Mytilus galloprovincialis (Mediterranean mussel). The record is from RNAcentral. Lineage: Eukaryota; Metazoa; Mollusca; Bivalvia; Mytilida; Mytilidae.
UGAACGUUACACAAUUAGAGAUGAACGUUUCACAAAUGCACGUUAUCUGAUCUACACAAUUAUACACGAUUGACGAACGCACGGUUAAGAAUGAAUGAUUGAUGAACGCACGAUACACGCACGAUACACGGUUAAGAAUGAAUGUUUGAUGAGCGCACGAUACACGCACGAUACACGCACGAUACACGAUUAAGAAUACACGAUGCACGCACGUUACACGGAAAAUACACGGAACGAUGAAUGAUGAACGCACGAUUGGUACACGCACGAUACACGCACGAUGCACGCACGCAACACGCACGAUACACGAUGAACGCACGG